RNAcentral lists this ribosomal RNA (451 nucleotides) under uncultured bacterium. RNAcentral's name for it is "partial 16S ribosomal RNA". It matches the Rfam family "Bacterial small subunit ribosomal RNA", at positions 29 to 523 of the family's 1533-position model. The record is from RNAcentral.
AGCGAACGCUGGCGGCAGGCCUAAAACAUGCAAGUCGAGCGCUCGUAGCAAUACGGGAGCGGCAGACGGGUGAGUAACACGUGGGAACGUACCCUUUGGUUCGGAACAACCCAGGGAAACUUGGGCUAAUACCGGAUAAGUCCGCAAGGAGAAAGAUUUAUCGCCGAAGGAUCGGCCCGCGUAUGAUUAGCUUGUUGGUGAGGUAACGGCUCACCAAGGCGACGAUCAGUAGCUGGUCUUAGAGGAUGAUCAGCCACACUGGGACUGAGACACGGCCCAGACUCCUACGGGAGGCAGCAGUUAUGAAUCUUGGACAAUGGGCGCAAGCCUGAUCCAGCCAUGCCGCGUGAGUGAUGAAGGCCCUAGGGUUGUAAAGCUCUUUCAGCGGGGAAGAUAAUGACGGUACCCGCAGAAGAAGCCCCGGCUAACUUCGUGCCAGCAGCCGCCGUAA